Molecule: long non-coding RNA, 959 nt
Filed under: Gallus gallus (chicken)
Lineage: Eukaryota; Metazoa; Chordata; Aves; Galliformes; Phasianidae
Description: lncRNA (ENSGALG00010008738.1)
Source: RNAcentral
AGUUCACAGCCGCACACUUUCUUGUUCCUCUCUAUGGCCAGGUGUCACAACUCUCAGGGUAACUGUACUUGCAAACAACACAGGGUCAUUCCAACUGAAUCUCUGCUCUUUAGCAAUGCUGUUUUUAUUCAUCUGGAAAUGAAGAAUUCACAUACCUUUAUUCAGGAAGGAGCAACAAUCACUGUCUUGGUUUUUUCCUUUUUUUUUUUUUCUGUUUUUUUGAGAAAUGGGAAAUGGAAAAUGGCUGAUCCUGCAAGAUGCUCAGUGUUUCUUACUGAAUGCCUUCAGGCCUCUCUGCUGUGGAAGGGAACUGGCCCUUUGAAGACCAUGUGCGAGACUGGACAGCCUCUUACCAGACUGUUGCAAAGCAGCUGGAAGGGAAUUCAAAGAAAUGCAAUGCUAGUGACUGCUGAGAGGACUGACUUAUGAGAAAAGAUUAAAAAUACUUUGAUUACAUCUGGACCCUGUGGAUUGUAAUGAGAUCUUCCUAUCAAGCAGGCAGAAAAGAAGAAAUUGUGAUAUUAGCUACUAGAUAAGAGUCAGUUCCUCAUUUGAAUAGGCCUUCUCCAGUGUGUAGGGGCAAUCUCUUGGGAAGAGCUUGGCUUUCAUCUAAUGGCUUUUAGCCUACCUUGAACACUUUUUUUUAACCUAAUUCUAAUUGGCAGGUUAAGGAGUCAUGCUCUUUUAAUCUUUGUGUUUAUUAUUAUUUCUAGUGAUUAGGUGAUGGUCUCAAACAAUGAACAAGCACCAGGUACAGAAUACUGGGAGAAAAAUCGCAGUGCAGAUGGGUAUAAAAAAGAGAAAGGGAAUGAUGCUCCGAAAUCAACAAUUGACAAUGAAUAUGAGCUGAAAGCGCUUCUCCCAGACCUGCCUACGUGAGCUGUUUAUUUGCACAAAAGCCUGAGCCCCCCCUUCAGUUGCAUAUUCAGUGCUGCACUAUAUCUCACUGAGUUUGCUUC